CCUACGGGGGGCAGCAGUGGGGAAUAUUGCACAAUGGGGGAAACCCUGAUGCAGCGACGCCGCGUGAGUGAAGAAGGAAUUCGGGAUGUAAAGCUCUAUCAGCAGGGAAGAAAAUGACGGUACCUGAGUAAGAAGCCCCGGCUAACGACGUGCCAGCAGCCGCGGUAAUACGUAGGGGGCAAGCGUGAUCCGGAUUUACUGGGUGUAAAGGGCGUGUAGGCGGGAGGGCAAGUCAGAUGUGAAAACUCUGGGCUCAACCCAUAGCCUGCUUUUGAAACUGUACGGCUGGAGUGCAGGAGAGGUAAGUGGAAUUCCUAGUGUAGCGGUGAAAUGCUUAGAUAUUAGGAGGAACCCCAGUGGCGAAGGCGGCUUACUGGACUGUACCUGACGUUGCGGCUCGAAAGCGUGGGGAGCAAACAGGAUUAGCUCCCCUUGUAGUC
This 440-nucleotide ribosomal RNA is filed under the name uncultured bacterium. RNAcentral's name for it is "partial 16S ribosomal RNA". It matches the Rfam family "Bacterial small subunit ribosomal RNA", at positions 338 to 795 of the family's 1533-position model. The record is from RNAcentral.